GUCAUACUCCAUCCGCCCGGAAUUACUUGUCAUCAAAAUCAAUGAAAAUGGAUGUAUCUAGAACUAAAAUACAUCUAGAUACAUCCAUUUCAAUGACAAGUAUUUCUGUACGGAGGUAGUACAAC
Molecule: non-coding RNA, 125 nt
Organism: Triticum aestivum (bread wheat)
Lineage: Eukaryota; Viridiplantae; Streptophyta; Magnoliopsida; Poales; Poaceae
Source: Rfam